This 506-nucleotide ribosomal RNA is filed under the name Oxymeris maculata. RNAcentral describes it as "partial 16S ribosomal RNA". It matches the Rfam family "Bacterial large subunit ribosomal RNA", at positions 1830 to 2598 of the family's 2925-position model. The record is from RNAcentral. Lineage: Eukaryota; Metazoa; Mollusca; Gastropoda; Neogastropoda; Terebridae.
CUUGUAAAGAUAAUAUAGGGAGUCGGACCUGCCCGGUGAAUUUUUUUAACGGCCGCGGUACUCUGACCGUGCAAAGGUAGCAUAAUCAUUUGCCUUAUAAUUGAAGGCUAGUAUGAAUGGUUUGACAAGAAUGGAGCUGUCUCUUUACAAUUUGGUAGAAUUUUAUUUUUAGGUGAAAAAGCCUUGAUUUAAUUAAUAGACAAGAAGACCCUAUCGAGCUUAAAAGGAUUUAGUAGGAUAAAGUGACUUAUUAAUCAAGAAGGUGUUACUGCUAAAAUUUUUGGUUGGGGCGACUGAGGAACAUUAAAAGCUUCCUUUAUAUAGAUUUACAUACGAGUGUUGAUCCAGGGCUAGUGAUUGAAGGAAUUAGUUACCGUAGGGAUAACAGCAUUAUCUUCUUUGAGAGUUCUUAUCGAAAAGAGGGUUUGUGACCUCGAUGUUGGACCAGAAUGUCCUAAAGAUGCAGAAGUCUUUAAGGGUUGGUCUGCUCGACCAUUAAAAUUCUA